Saccostrea echinata is the source of this 1199-nucleotide RNA transcript. RefSeq lists it as uncharacterized. The record is from RefSeq and is a predicted model, not a curated record. NCBI's taxonomy places the organism in Eukaryota, Metazoa, Mollusca, Bivalvia, Ostreida, Ostreidae. The transcript has 5 exons.
CUAAUUCCAGUUCCGGAAGAACAUAUAUAAACCCCUCUUGACAUAAAGCUAACAGAAACUUUCAGGCAACCAAGAUGCAUUUUCUAGCGAAUCUCACGCUCAUAUUUCCUUUACUUCUUUAUGUUGAUGGUUGGUGGAUGUGGGGUAAAGAAGAAAACGACGGAUGUUCUAAACGAGAUGGAGCUUAUCCAUAUUAUUUUGGCACGACUGAUCUUGUCUGCGUCAUAAUAGAAAGUAGAAAAAGGGGAAAACGCAGUGCUCCUUCAAGAGGAACUUCGGAUUUGUCCCACCGUUUCAUUGAAUACAGAGGAAACUACUAUGAUUUUCUAUCUAAUUCCAAAGUGGCUAUCUCUAAAACACGAUUAUGGGGAAAUUCAUGUAGCGGGAAAAAGGAAGCCUCCCCAGCUGGAUACAGCGAACUCAGUCCAGAGUGCAUUAAUUGAAGGUUGUGCCAAGAAUUACAAAUGUAACUAUGGAAGUUACAACUUUCUGACCAACAACUGCCACCAUCUCGCUAAUCGGUUGUCUGAAAUCCUGUGUAGAAGAGGUACAACAUGCCCUGACUGGUGCAAGGGCAGCUAUAGGAAUGGGAUAUAUAAUUAGUAAUCUGUGUAUUAAAUGAACAAAACAUUGCUAUGAAAUCAAGAUGGGCACUACCCUUUGGUUUAUUCCAAUGCUUCAUAGAUUAACAGUAAUAAAAUCUGUGUUAUGAAUACGCUUUCAUCUCGUAAACUCUUGCUGUUUAUUGUGCUUGUGAUACAUCUACCACAUUGUAAUUUUCAUCAAACCUUUUCCUUUUCUCUUGAAUAUGAUGCACACGUUAUAAUAAAACCAUUUUGAAAAAGAAAUAGUCAAUUGAUACUUUUCACAGCGUGUUAUUCUAUUUAUCUAUAAAAAUCUAUUGCAACUUUUUAUUUGUUAAAAAGGUUAAAUUUUAAAGCUACAUGUAUUUCUAAUUUUGUUAAAUUUAUACAUUUGAGUGGGCUUGACUACAAAGUAAACCUUCAUUUAAGUUGGAAUAACUGGGAAAAAUACUAGUAUGUACAACACUUAAUAUCAUUUAAUUGGUAUUUAAACCAUUUAAUCUUCCAUCAAAAAUUGAUAUUCAUUAUUAUUGCUAUAAAAUGAUGGUGGUAUUUAUCAGUUUCAGAAUAAACAUUUCAAUAAUUCUUAUUUUGUCCUUUGAUCCUCAUAACUUC